RNAcentral lists this ribosomal RNA (490 nucleotides) under uncultured bacterium. RNAcentral's name for it is "partial 16S ribosomal RNA". It matches the Rfam family "Bacterial small subunit ribosomal RNA", at positions 29 to 507 of the family's 1533-position model. The record is from RNAcentral.
AGUGAACGCUGGCGGUAGGCCUAACACAUGCAAGUCGAACGGCAGCACAGGAGAGCUUGCUCUCUAGGUGGCGAGUGGCGGACGGGUGAGGAAUACAUCGGAAUCUGCCCAGUCGUGGGGGAUAACGUAGGGAAACUUACGCUAAUACCGCAUACGACCUUCGGGUGAAAGAGGGGGAUCGCAAGACCUCUCGCGAUUGGAUGAGCCGAUGUCGGAUUAGCUAGUUAGCGGGGUAAUGGCCCACCAAGGCGACGAUCCGUAGCUGGUCUGAGAGGAUGAUCAGCCACACUGGAACUGAGACACGGUCCAGACUCCUACGGGAGGCAGCAGUGGGGAAUGUUGGACAAUGGGCGCAAGCCUGAUCCAGCCAUACCGCGUGGGUGAAGAAGGCCUUCGGGUUGUAAAGCCCUUUUGUUGGGAAAGAAAUCUUUCAGGCUAAUACCCUGGGAGGAUGACGGUACCCAAAGAAUAAGCACCGGCUAACUUCGUG